CGGAAACAUGUCUAGCUUGCUAGAUGAUGUCGAGUGGCGGACGGGUGAGUAAUGCUUGGGAACUUGCCUUUGCGAGGGGGAUAACAGUUGGAAACGACUGCUAAUACCGCAUAAUGUCUUCGGACCAAACGGGGCUUCGGCUCCGGCGCAAAGAGAGGCCCAAGUGAGAUUAGCUAGUUGGUGAGGUAAAGGCUCACCAAGGCAACGAUCUCUAGCUGUUCUGAGAGGAAGAUCAGCCACACUGGGACUGAGACACGGCCCAGACUCCUACGGGAGGCAGCAGUGGGGAAUAUUGCACAAUGGGGGAAACCCUGAUGCAGCCAUGCCGCGUGUGUGAAGAAGGCCUUCGGGUUGUAAAGCACUUUCAGUUGUGAGGAAAAGUUAGUAGUUAAUACCUGCUAGCCGUGACGUUAACAACAGAAGAAGCACCGGCUAACUCCGUGCCAGCAGCCGCGGUAAUACGGAGGGUGCGAGCGUUAAUCGGAAUUACUGGGCGUAAAGCGCACGCAGGCGGUUUGUUAAGCUAGAUGUGAAAGCCCCGGGCUCAACCUGGGACGGUCAUUUAGAACUGGCAGACUAGAGUCUUGGAGAGGGGAGUGGAAUUCCAGGUGUAGCGG
Molecule: ribosomal RNA, 617 nt
Filed under: uncultured bacterium
Lineage: Bacteria
Description: bacterial SSU rRNA
Rfam family: Bacterial small subunit ribosomal RNA
Source: RNAcentral